AUAACAUCAUGGAAUCAGAAUACUAGAACUGGAAGAGAUCAUAUAAUAUAUAGUCUAGUAGUUUUUCUGUUUGCUCCGUGCUUGGGGCAGGGAUGGGAGGAGGAGGAGCUUGGCAAGUUAUCUUCUCCUUCCGUGAAACAGAGCACUUUAAAGUGCUUACUUUCUUUAUCACUUACUUUCUCAUAUUGGCCUUCCAGGUAUAUGCUCGUAUGUCAGAAGUCUUAGGAAUAACAGAUGACAACCACGUUCUAGAAACAUUCAUGACAAAAAUAUAGAUGCUGUGAAAUUCAUGCUAAAAAACCACACGAGUGAACACUUCCCUUUUCUUGGCAUCAGUGACAAUCAUAGUCUCAGCGACUUCAGGUGUCGAACAACCUUCUACACAGCGCUCACUCGCCUUCUGAUGGUAGAUCUAGGUGAAGAUGAGGAUGAAUUUGAGAAUUUCAUGCUGCCUCUUACAGUUGCUUUUGAAACAGUAUUACAAAUAUUCAACAACAACUUUAAACAAGAAGAUGUAAAGCGUAUGUUGAUCGGGCUGGCAAGAGAUCUUCGAGGGAUUGCCUUUGCACUGAACACAAAGACCAGCUACACCAUGCUGUUUGAC
RNAcentral lists this small RNA (604 nucleotides) under Pan troglodytes (chimpanzee). RNAcentral describes it as "processed transcript". Lineage: Eukaryota; Metazoa; Chordata; Mammalia; Primates; Hominidae. The record is from RNAcentral.